UACGUAGGGAGCAAGCGUUGUCCGGAAUCAUUGGGCGUAAAGCGCGCGUAGGUGGCCCAGUAAGUCCGUUCUGAAAGUCACAGGCUCAACCUGUGAAAGCGGAUGGAUACUGCUGGGCUAGAGUCCGGAAGAGGCGAGUGGAAUUCCUGGUGUAGCGGUGGAAUGCGCAGAUAUCAGGAGGAACACCAACGGCGAAGGCAGCUCGCUGGGACGGUACUGACGCUGAGACGCGAAAGCGUGGGGAGCGAACAGG
RNAcentral lists this ribosomal RNA (253 nucleotides) under uncultured bacterium. Its description in RNAcentral is "partial 16S ribosomal RNA". It matches the Rfam family "Bacterial small subunit ribosomal RNA", at positions 524 to 776 of the family's 1533-position model. The record is from RNAcentral.